AUUGAACGCUGGCGGCAUGCUUUACACAUGCAAGUCGAACGGCAGCGCGGGCUUCGGCCUGGCGGCGAGUGGCGAACGGGUGAGUAAUGCAUCGGAACGUGCCCAGUAGUGGGGGAUAGCCCGGCGAAAGCCGGAUUAAUACCGCAUACGACCUGAGGGUGAAAGCGGGGGACCGAAAGGCCUCGCGCUAUUGGAGCGGCCGAUGUCGGAUUAGCUAGUUGGUGGGGUAAAGGCUUACCAAGGCGACGAUCCGUAGCUGGUCUGAGAGGACGACCAGCCACACUGGGACUGAGACACGGCCCAGACUCCUACGGGAGGCAGCUGUGGGGAAUUUUGGACAAUGGGGGCAACCCUGAUCCAGCCAUGCCGCGUGCGGGAAGAAGGCCUUCGGGUUGUAAACCGCUUUUGUUCGGGAAGAAAUCCUCUGGGCUAAUACCCCGGGGGGAUGACGGUACCGGAAGAAUAAGCACCGGCUAACUACGUG
RNAcentral lists this ribosomal RNA (484 nucleotides) under uncultured bacterium. RNAcentral's name for it is "partial 16S ribosomal RNA". It matches the Rfam family "Bacterial small subunit ribosomal RNA", at positions 28 to 507 of the family's 1533-position model. The record is from RNAcentral.